Molecule: long non-coding RNA, 493 nt
Filed under: Chloebia gouldiae (Gouldian finch)
Lineage: Eukaryota; Metazoa; Chordata; Aves; Passeriformes; Passeridae
Description: Erythrura gouldiae (Gouldian finch) lncRNA (ENSEGOG00005017822.1)
Source: RNAcentral
AAUGUGGGUAAAUGGGUGGAAAAUGUUAAAUCGGCACAAAAUGUGGGUAAAUGGGUGGAAAAUGGGGGUAAAUGGGUGGAAAAUGGGGGUGAAUGGGUGGAAAAUGUUAUUAAAUUGGCACAAAAUGUGGGUAAAUUGGUGGAAAAUGUGGUUAGCUCUGAUCACAGGGUGGUUAAAUGGGUGCAAAGUGUGGUUAAAUUGGUGGAAAAUGGGUAAAUGGGUGGAAAAUGGGGGUAAAUGGGUGGAAAAUGGGGGUAAAUGGGUGGAAAAUGGGGGUAAAUGGGUGGAAAAUGGGGGUAAAUCUCAUCAAAAUGUGGUUAAACCAUCACAAAAUGUGGGUAAAUGGGUGGAAAAUGGGGGUAAAUUGGUGAAAAGUGUGGUUAAAUCGCCACAAAAUGUGGGUAAAUGGGUGGAAAAUGUGGUUAAAUCUGAUCAAAGUGUGGUUAAAUCGGCACAAAAUGUGGGUAAAUGGGUGCAAAAUGGGGGUAAAUCG